RNAcentral lists this long non-coding RNA (835 nucleotides) under Homo sapiens (human). RNAcentral's name for it is "HSALNT0226559". Lineage: Eukaryota; Metazoa; Chordata; Mammalia; Primates; Hominidae. The record is from RNAcentral.
CACAGCCAUAGCAAAGGAGUUGAAGCAGCGCUCCAUGAAGGCUCCCAGCGAGCCGCGCUUCCGGCUGCAUGAUUACGUUAAGAGGGAGGGUCGAGGGGCCUCCUGCUGCCGCCCUUGAACCUGGCUGAGCUCAGUCCUCUGGAGGAAGCCGUCCAGUCCCUAGAAGGCUGGACAGAGGGUCUCCAGGCCCUUCUGACUUUGUUGCCCAGUGGCCAACGCCCGAGUGUCUGUUUUCAGGAGCCCCAGGUCAAGCCUUGUCCCUUCCUCCUCCCAGCAACAGUCCCAACAAGCAGGCUUCUGAGAGCCCGUGGCCGCACACUGGCCGCCACGGAAAAGCAGUCUUCUGCACGGGACGGGGAGCGGCAAGUGGACAGACUUUGCCACGGUGCUCUGCUGCCCCCUCCUGGGCACGUCCAGGUGAGGGAGGGCUGGGGCUGGCACCACGCACAGUGCCUAACCCUAGAAAAGCCAUGUCUUCAGCCGCACAUGCUCAGGCAGCUAAGGGAGGACGCCUGCCCACGCCUGGGACAGAAGGCUUCACUGCUAAUCACAUCGUGCAUCUGUGUGUCCUGGGAGCUGCCUGCUCCCGGCCCACCCUCUAGGAGGCUCUGGCUCAAACAGCAAUAGGGUCUUCCUCACUGACCUUGGAGGAUGCCUGUGGCCUUGUGAUAAAAUGUGGGAAAUCACAGAAAACACCAGAAACAACAACUGCCAGCCCGGCCUGGCCACAGGUGAGGUCUGUGAUUUCCGAGCACGCUCCACCUUGCACUCAACUUGGCCUUUUGAUUGCACAAGCCUUUGUUUUCAGUCCUAGUGAAUAAAGUUGUGUUUUCUG